GGCCCGAUAGCGCAGUGGCAAGCGCGUCCACUAAAAUUCAUGGGAAGGCUCCUGUUCGAUUCAGGAUUGGGCCU
Athelia sp. TMB is the source of this 74-nucleotide non-coding RNA. The record is from the annotation of a GenBank genome assembly. NCBI's taxonomy places the organism in Eukaryota, Fungi, Basidiomycota, Agaricomycetes, Atheliales, Atheliaceae.